Cricetulus griseus (Chinese hamster) is the source of this 988-nucleotide non-coding RNA. The record is from RefSeq and is a predicted model, not a curated record. Lineage: Eukaryota; Metazoa; Chordata; Mammalia; Rodentia; Cricetidae.
GGGGUCUCCGCCCUGUAAGCUUAUGCUCUCUCUCUCAAGAUGCAUUAAAGCUUUACUGCAGAAGGAUCCGAGUGUCCUGUGUCGUUCUUGCCGGCAAGACGAUCGCGCGGGACAGACCAGGACAUGGGGAAUUGAUGAAAGCCUAUGAAGUGAACACUGUGGGCCAGGCGUGGCGGUAUACAUCUGUAAUCCCAGUGUACUGGCUGGUUUUGUGUCAACUUGACUCAAGCUAGAGUCAUCAGAGAGGAAGAAGCCUCAGCUGAGGAAAUGCUGCCGUGAGGUCCAGCUGUUGGCUUCAAACUCACCAUGUCACUGAAGGUGGCUUUGAACUUCUGAUCCCUUUUCUGGAAGCAGAUGUGUGCCCUCAGUUUCAGCAGUACUGAAACUUCAACUUCAAGGUUUGAGUUUCUACCAGUUUUCUACAGUGAACCAUGACCAUGCCUAAGAGUGACCUUUGACACCAGGACUAUGAUAACACCAUUAAGCUGAACAACGCCAACAAAGAUCAGCUUUGGACUACAAACUGCUCAGAAAAAUUUUGAGGUGGCUACCUGAGAUGAUCCAGCCUCACAGCCUAUUUUAGCCAGGACUCGAGACACACUGCACUUCCCUAUCACAAAGAGACUGGACAACAAAUGAUACAGCUGACAAUUUCCAAAAUUUUUCUUUUCAGGAUCCCCUAAAGAUGCCUUUUCCCCCAGACAGCAGGAAGUAAUUUUAAGAACACCAUGCCCACAUUCCCAAGUGGUGGGGUGGUGGUUUUUGGUCACCUAUUGGGUUAUGGAUAUUUGUCAUUGUUUAGGGGGAUUUGCUACAGAAUGUUGUUGGUUAAGGUCAGGAAGAAAGCUGAACAAAGGGGAUUAGAUUCAAGGUUUUUGUUUUGAAAAUAAAAGGGAAUAUAGAUAUGAUAGGAUAAAAAGGGUAGAUUAUUGAAUCUACUCUAAAAAGAAAAAAGGGAGGAUAUAGAUACAAUAAGAUAAAAAGGUAG